GACCACUUCACAGAUGAAGUCAAGGCCAUACGGACAGCCGGGUCCACUGCCGA
This 53-nucleotide small RNA is filed under the name Butyricicoccus porcorum. Its description in RNAcentral is "Streptococcus sRNA SpF59 (ldcC RNA)". It matches the Rfam family "Streptococcus sRNA SpF59 (ldcC RNA)". Lineage: Bacteria; Bacillati; Bacillota; Clostridia; Eubacteriales; Butyricicoccaceae. The record is from RNAcentral.